GACGAACGCUGGCGGCGUGCUUAACACAUGCAAGUCGAACGGAAAGGCCCUGCUUUUGUGGGGUGCUCGAGUGGCGAACGGGUGAGUAACACGUGAGUAACCUGCCCUUGACUUUGGGAUAACUUCAGGAAACUGGGGCUAAUACCUGAUAGGAGCUCCUGCUGCAUGGUGGGGGUUGGAAAGUUUCGGCGGUUGGGGAUGGACUCGCGGCUUAUCAGCUUGUUGGUGGGGUAGUGGCUUACCAAGGCUUUGACGGGUAGCCGGCCUGAGAGGGUGAACGGCCACAUUGGGACUGAGAUACGGCCCAGACUCCUACGGGAGGCAGCAGUGGGGAAUAUUGCACAAUGGGCGGAAGCCUGAUGCAGCAACGCCGCGUGCGGGAUGACGGCCUUCGGGUUGUAAACCGCUUUCGCCUGUGACGAAGCGUGAGUGACGGUAAUGGGUAAAGAAGCACCGGCUAACUACGUG
RNAcentral lists this ribosomal RNA (468 nucleotides) under uncultured bacterium. RNAcentral's name for it is "partial 16S ribosomal RNA". It matches the Rfam family "Bacterial small subunit ribosomal RNA", at positions 28 to 507 of the family's 1533-position model. The record is from RNAcentral.